This is a long non-coding RNA of Gallus gallus (chicken), 2472 nucleotides long. The record is from Ensembl. Lineage: Eukaryota; Metazoa; Chordata; Aves; Galliformes; Phasianidae.
AGUUUUGGCUGUUUGAUUUCCUAGUGACUCUGAGUGUUCAGCCUUUUCUGGAACAUUUGCACAGCAGCUCUGCUGAUGGCUCAGCUGUGGAAGCAGCUGUGGUAGGCCAGGCCUUUCUCCACACAGAGCCCGUCCUGCAGCUGCUGCUGCCAGCACCUGGCUGCUCACAACAAAAGGUUUGGGGAGAAAAUGAAGGAGAGCUCAUUACCACGCUGCAGAAACCCUGAUCUGCUGUCCUCACACCAAGAUCAUAUGGAUGCUGAACCAAGAGGAUGACAUGUCCCAUCUUGCAGCUCGAUGUGUCCACUACCAGAAUUUACUCUUCAAUAGCAGAAAAAAAUGCCAAGUAUUUUAUUGAAAACCAAUAUAAUCAUCAGCAAUGUCCUUACUUUAUACAAGGUUAUUCAGAAGGGGUCAAAGACAGAUUAGCUGCAUGGUCAUCUCUACAGGAAUAUGUGUGGAGAUGAGAAGGACAUGAAAAAAAUUCUUCUGUUUUUCUGGAAAAAUGCAAGUAAUUUUUUGAUCCUUGGAGCUGGUUUUGAAUGAAUUCCCAAUUUCAUUUUUAUGGAUUAGAGACUCUUUCAGUUAUCUUAGUGUGACUCCAACCCUACAGAAUUUUUGCACCCAAUGUUUUGGUUUGAAUCUAUACUGAAAAUACCAAUAUGCAUCAGUGCAGGUUCACAGAAAUUGUUCGUCUUACUCUUGAACUGAUAGCAUGCUUUAUUCUGACCUGUACCAAUAGCACUCUUCAAACACAUUUCUGCAUAUAAUCUGGGGGAUUUUCACAGGCCAGCGUCCAUUCCCAAAAUGACUAAUGACAAUGACCAAUGACAUUUGGUCAUGCAGCUAGAAGUAGGGGGAAAGACUUUUAUGAACAGUCCGUGCUAUUUGGCCUCAGGGCUACACAACACUUCCUGGCACUGGAUAAUUUACGGGAAUAGACGUUGCAGAGGGGACCUUCUCCUGAUUACACUGAAAGCUCAUUAAUUAUCAUCAGCAUAAUUAAUGUUGAAAAACAAAGAGCACAACAGAGAUGUUCUUAAAUGGAGAAGGUGAUUUAACAUCUGUCUGGUUCAAAGAAAUACCUGUAAAUUUUGCAAGUGUGAGUAGAGCAACUAAUGUAGAUAAAGCAGCAAGAUCCUUAUUUUGGUCUUUUGAAUUAAUGCUGGGAAAAGAUAAUAAUGUUACCUUGUGUAAAACUGACAAAUAUUAGAUUAGCAUCAGAUUGUGAGUUCUUAUGAUUAUCACUUGUCUACUUACUGAAUAUAAGAUAACUGCAACUAAUUAGGAAUAUAAAAGAAAAGAAAGAUAAGUGUAUACAAACAUUACAAGCAGAGAUUAAAAGUCUAUUUAUAUGCUGUUAUUUUUAGGGCAGGAUUUCUAUACAAAAGCACUGAUAAAGCUAUCUGUUGUAACCAGCAGAUCUGAUCUGCAAUUAUCUUAUUGUAUCUCACUAUAUAUCUAAAAAGAUACAGUAAAUAAAUCAGAAAACAAAAUGCUAUAGCCCUGAAGAUACAAACUGAUAGUGCAGUACACUACAAAAACAUUUUUUUUAUGUUGGAAUUUAUCUUAUAGAUUUGUGUUUUCAGAUUGCUAAUUUAGUAGAGCACUAAGAUUUGAAAGAAGAUGUUAUGUGGAAUUUCUUAAGAAAUUGAUUAAAAUGCUUUAGUAUCUCCACUUAUCUGACAGCAAAUAUUCUUAAUGAAGGGGAUUGUUUAUGUUGAUACAAAUUUAUUCCAUUAAGCAAUGAGUUGUUUGUUUUUCUGUGGUGUUAAUGACAGGCAUAAACUCACAAACACAAUUAAGACAUUUCACCUUAAAACAACAUAGGAACAAACAAAAAUGUUGGAAGGACCUUAGAAGUAGUUUUCUCUUAAUAAGAAAUAUGAAAUAACUCCUGAAUACAUUAAAUAAUUCCUGCAAUAUUUAUCUGUGUAUUAAUAAUCCAGGUCUAAUAUUGAUAUAUGAAGAUGUAACACCAUUGACACUAGUGGAGAAAAUCCUAUUAAAAUUAAAAUAAGGUGAAUAAAAAGGAGCCCAAAGUUACUAAUUAAUCAACACACAGAUAGGUAUAAAUAAAUCUAGAUCCAUGGAAACAUCAAGUAGAUGGAAGUAUACACUGCAUAGAAGUUACACUGAAAAAAUGAUCCAAUGGUUUAGGUUCAGAAUUUAAGUUCUCCAGUAUUGGGUCUGUGAUUUCUUCUGGAAAAUAACAAAGAAGAAUCAAUAGCUGAUUCACACUGACUAAUAACUAGGCCAAGAAGGAGCCAUGGCACUCUGCUCUGAAGAAUAGGAGUAAUAAGGUAGAACCUGAUAUCAGUGAAUGACUAGGAAGAAAAAAAAAUUAGACUGGGUUUAGAAAAAGAGUUAGGUGAAAUAAAAGAUCAGUCAAGUGUAUUGAUAACUGCAAGAGUAUGGAUAACUGCAAUAUUAUAACUGCAAAGAAAUUCAUAAAUUAGCAAAUGAAAUAUU